Molecule: long non-coding RNA, 1918 nt
Organism: Astyanax mexicanus (Mexican tetra)
Lineage: Eukaryota; Metazoa; Chordata; Actinopteri; Characiformes; Acestrorhamphidae
Exons: 6
Source: RefSeq, a predicted model, not a curated record
UUGGGUGUCUAUAUUGAACGUCCCUGAUAGCAGACUACUCCGAUCCGGAUCCGUUUUACCUCCGGCAGAUCCGCGCUACAGUCAGGUCUGUUUAGUGGAUCUGGUCCGGCUUCACUCCGGGUUCGGGUUAUGAUUGUGACUCACGUUCAGAUCCGUUUUACUGACGGUAAAUCCGCAUAACAGUCCGUCUCAUUUCACGCCUUCCAUAUGACUUCGGCACGGAGUCAGAUACCAGAUGUGAGUUCAGUGUCAGCUCAGUGUCGUUUUGCGGAUCCGGGCCGCAUCGGCGGAGCGGCACAGGAGCGGGAGAAAUUCAAACUCAGCGCGAGGACCAACUGACAUCUGCUGAAUCUGCGCUUCAGGGCUGCUUAGGGCUGGGGACCUGAGAUAAGGUGUAAUCAUUUACCCAUCAAAUCACCUAACAAGGAUCAGCCUGGAUCCUAACAGUACUUGAUGCACUGAGCAGUGACAUUAUACAUAGAGUAGUUAAGCAGGAUUUGGUAUCCGCAAAAUGGUUCGAGGUCCUCAGCCCUCGCCUCCCCCAGCACAGAGGAAAACUACCAAGGGCGGUACUCUCAUUAUAGGAGAUUCAAUUGUUAGACAUUUAAAAGUAUCUAAGAGUAAUGGCACAAUUUCAUGUCUUCCAGAUGCUUGCAUGCUGGUAGUCGGCAAGCGGCUCCCUGGGGCGCAUUGCCAAAGCAGGAACCCCGGCACCAUCGCCCUCCACGUGGGGAUGAGCUUUCGGGAGCGACCGGCCCCGUUCCACAGAGACAGGCUUCUCUCUGUGAACAUCGAGGUGGUGCUACGCUGAGACUGACUGUCUCUACCCAGUCACACCAGCCAAGCUGCACUGUAGUGGUGUUAAGUGUCCAAGAAUGCUCUCAUCAGUGGAGGCACAGCUGGCUGCAAAAAACGUCUGUGUCUGCAUGUUUAUAUUAUGUGAAUUAAAAAUGGUUUUAUUAUUAAAAUAAUUGUAUUAAUGCCUGUUGAUUUAUAAAUUGUUUAAUUGAAAUCAAAAUUUAUUUAAGUAGCUUAAUUAAGUAUUGCAUUUAUAAGUGAUGGUAUUUUAUUUUAAUUAGCUUAAGUAUUGCAUUUAUAAGUGAUGGUAUUUUAUUGAAUUAGCUUAAUUAAUAUUGCAUUUAUAAGUGAUGAUAUUUUAUAUAAUUAGCUUAAUUAAGUAUUGCAUUUAUAAGUGAUGGUAUUUUAUUUUAAUUAGCUUAAGUAUUGCAUUUAUAAGUGAUGGUAUUUUAUUGAAUUAGCUUAAUUAAUAUUGCAUUUAUAAGUGAUAUUUUAUAUAAUUAGCUUAAUUAAUAUUGCAUUUAUAAGUGAUGAUAUUUUAUAUAAUUAGCUUAAUUAAGUAUUGCAUUUAUAAGUGAUGGUAUUUUAUUUAAUUAGCUUAAUUAAGUAUUGCAUUUAUAACUGAUGGUACUUUCAUUAAUUAGCUUAAUUAAGUAUUGCAUAUAUAAGUUAUGGUAUUUUAUUUAAUUAGCUUAAUUAAGUAUUGCUUUUAUAAUUAUUGUAUUUCAUUUAGCUAACCUAAUUAAGGAUUGCAUUUACAACUAAUGUUUUUUUAUUAUAUUAUUUAAAUAUUGCAUUUGUAAUUUAAUGUACUGUAUUAAACUCUUUUAAUUUAUCAAUGUAAAAAGAAGUCAAAUAGCUUAGUGCUCUUUCUUUACUACUUUUAUUUAGAAAUAUGUCAUUAUAAUCAGUAAUAAGUAGGCUGGGGAACGUGAAAAGGCCGUGGCUUGGCCGUAGCUAAUACGGAACUAAUCCGGGGCUGAUCCAGAUCUGGUCCAGAUCUGUAACGGACCUGUUCCAGCGAGUGUAACGGUAAGCGGAUCCGGCCCAUAUUCGGUCUAAAGGAACACCUGAAACGCUUGGUCUGGACUGGUGCUGGCCCAGUAUCUUUUUGACUCCG